UACGUAGGGGGCAAGCGUUGUCCGGAUUUAUUGGGCGUAAAGAGCGUGUAGGCGGUCUGGUAGGUCCGUUGUGAAAACUCGAGGCUCAACCUCGAGACGCCGGUGGAAACCGUCUGGCUAGAGUCCGGAAGAGGAGAGUGGAAUUCCUGGUGUAGCGGUGAAAUGCGCAGAUAUCAGGAAGAACACCCGUGGCUAAGGCGGCUAUCUGGACGGACACUGACGCUGAGACGCGAAAGCGUGGGGAGCAA
RNAcentral lists this ribosomal RNA (248 nucleotides) under uncultured bacterium. RNAcentral describes it as "partial 16S ribosomal RNA". It matches the Rfam family "Bacterial small subunit ribosomal RNA", at positions 524 to 771 of the family's 1533-position model. The record is from RNAcentral.